This 510-nucleotide ribosomal RNA is filed under the name Triticum aestivum (bread wheat). RNAcentral describes it as "partial small subunit ribosomal RNA". Lineage: Eukaryota; Viridiplantae; Streptophyta; Magnoliopsida; Poales; Poaceae. The record is from RNAcentral.
AUGUAUCUGAUUAUAUAUUAUUUUAGAUUGUUUGCAGUUUUUUCAUCAUUUACCCACUCACCUUUAUUUAGCAAUGUGCCCUGUGGUUUACAGCAGAAUUUUUUAGUUACGCUGCUGCCCAUGUGGCCACCACUUCCACAGUUAGCUUUCCUAGCAAAAUGCUCUACAGUAUGGUAUUAUUUGGUAAUUCAGUGUAAGCAGGUGAAAGCAUGCGCAAACUACGUGGCUUCUUUGUGCUUGGGACAUAGCAUAAUACAUGGAAUAAAACUGUUAUUACUUCCUAAGAAGCACCGAUACGGCCAGAACUGCCAAUUUGCCGUCCUGAUACGGGGUGACACGGGGAUACGCCCGGAUACGGCUGGAUACGCGUAUCCCGCAGUAUCCCAUCUUUUCCGAAUUAAAAAAAAAAGUAAAAAAAUCGGGAUACGGCCUAGAUAUGGCGUGGACACGGUGGGGACUCGGCAGCCAGCCUCCAGUGACCAUGCUGCUGCCCAGUUCUCCUCCCGAUAG